RNAcentral lists this ribosomal RNA (338 nucleotides) under Dicranocara deschodti. Its description in RNAcentral is "partial 16S ribosomal RNA". The record is from RNAcentral. Lineage: Eukaryota; Metazoa; Arthropoda; Insecta; Coleoptera; Scarabaeidae.
AAAGUCUANCCUNCCCAAUGAAUUAAUAUUUUAAUGGCCGCGGUAUACUGNCCGUGCAAAGGUANCAUAAUAAUUAGUUUUUUAAUUGAGAACUGGUAUGAAUGGUUGGAUGAGAAAAAAUCUGUCUCAAUUUAAUUUAAAUUAGAAUUUUAUUUUUAAGUAAAAAAGCUUAAAUAAAUUUAAAAGACGAGAAGACCCUAUAGAGUUUUAUAUAAAAUAUUUUAUGAAAAAUUAAGAAUAGUUCAAAUUUAUAUAAUAUUUUGUAAUUGGUUGGGGUGAUUGAAAAAUUUAAAGAACUUUUUUAUUUUUAAUUCAUUGAUUUAUGUGUUUUUGAUCCA